Molecule: transfer RNA, 76 nt
Filed under: Bacillota bacterium
Lineage: Bacteria; Bacillati; Bacillota
Also listed under: 4 other names
Description: Firmicutes bacterium (hot springs metagenome) tRNA-His
Rfam family: tRNA
About the family: Transfer RNA (tRNA) molecules are approximately 80 nucleotides in length. Their secondary structure includes four short double-helical elements and three loops (D, anti-codon, and T loops).
Source: RNAcentral
GCGGGCGUAGCUCAGCGGUUAGAGCGUCAGGCUGUGGCCCUGAAGGUCGCGGGUUCGAGUCCCGCCGCUCGCCCCA